UAUUACAUUUAUUGAUGUCAUAUGUUUGUCUUAUUUUUACAUUCUACAACUUUACUGUGAAGAUAACUGCGUGUGGGGGUUGAUACAGUCUAGGGCAGUGACGUGCGGUCAGGGGAGGCAGUGCCUCACGUGAUGCGUGUCGCUUUCUUUUCCUCCGCCAAUAAAGUGCAGCGAAAAAUCAGCCGGGAGGCAACCAGUACUCUGCCUCGCCCCAAGGGGUCGAACCUGAACUGACAGGUGCUCUCCAGCUGGCGUCAACUGACAUAUGUAAAUCGGCGCCAAACUACAGCCACCGUUGUCUAUGCUCCGUCUGAUCAGACUUACUAUGGAUUAUGUUUCAAGACGGAAACAUCUCUCCAAACUGGACUUCCGGUCCAAACGGACUUACUAUGGAUUAUGUUUCAAGACGGAAACAUCUCUCCAAUCUGGACUUCCGGUCAAAACGGAAGUUGAUAAUUGAAGCUAACGCCGGAGCUAACAGGUUAGCUUCAAACUACGGGCCAGAAGAGUCGUUGGUUUUAAAUGUAGAGGUACAAACGAAGAGACUGUCUGUGUGUCUGUCCGGUCAAAACCCGCCAUUACUGCUGUCCUUGUUUUUUAUUGUCGUCGUGUUAUAACGUCUGGACGAACUCGGAAUACUGUGACCUGAAACAUUUACAAAGAAGCCUCAGCAGACAUGGAAGAUCAGACACGAACAUUCAAAGACAGAUUUAUUUAGAAACUUCUGGAAAUUCAAGGAUUUGUCAUCGGAUGAACAACGGAGACUAAACAUUAGCCUCGACGAUGUUAAGGUGAGGGGAAACCCAGAGACACAACCACGGACUUCAGCUAGAAGUAAAGCCCAGUACAAAAUAUCCACGGCCUGGUACUGGUCCUCGACCUCAUGGUUGGGAACAUCUGGUUGAAUUCAAAAUAUGCAGUUGUGACGAAGGUGGGUUCAUGAGCACAUAUAAAGCCUUUGCCUCUGCACCAACAUCCCUGAUGUGAUGGAUGAAGACCUAUGGUGCAGUGGACAUGGACGGGGCCUCAGAAUGACACCAGCCUGGAACAGCCUGAUGAAGGUGCGUCCACCUCUGUAAUUGUGUCAGUGUGUGUUGAAGGACAGGUUCUUCAUUAGACAUUCACCCGAGGACCGGCUCCACUGAGCCGCCGUGCCGCCGCCCUCAGGA
This is a long non-coding RNA of Cynoglossus semilaevis (tongue sole), 1169 nucleotides long. RefSeq lists it as uncharacterized. Lineage: Eukaryota; Metazoa; Chordata; Actinopteri; Pleuronectiformes; Cynoglossidae. The transcript is spliced from 3 exons. The record is from RefSeq and is a predicted model, not a curated record.